GACGAACGCUGGCGGCGUGCUUAACACAUGCAAGUCGAACGGAAAGGCCCUGCUUUUGUGGGGUGCUCGAUUGGCGAACGGGUGAGUAACACGCGAGUAACCUGCCCUUGACUUUGGGAUAACUUCAGGAAACUGGGGCUAAUACCGGAUAGGAGCUCCUGCUGCAUGGUGUGGGUUGGAAAGUUUCGGCGGUUGUGGAUGGACUCGCUGCUUAUGAGCUUGAUUGUGAGGUAGUGGCUUACCAAGCCUUUGACGGGUAGCCGGCCUGGGAGGGUGAACGGGCACAUUGGGCCUGAGGUAGGGCCCAGUCUCCUACGGGAGGCAGCGGUGGAGAACCUUGCGCAAUGGGCGGAAGCCUGAUGCAGCAACGCCGCGUGCGGGAUGCCGGCCUUCGGGUUGUGAACCGCUUUCGCCUGUGACGAAGCGUGAGUGACGGUACCGGGUAAAGAGGCACCGGCUAACUACGUG
This 468-nucleotide ribosomal RNA is filed under the name uncultured bacterium. Its description in RNAcentral is "partial 16S ribosomal RNA". It matches the Rfam family "Bacterial small subunit ribosomal RNA", at positions 28 to 507 of the family's 1533-position model. The record is from RNAcentral.